UGGGGAAUUUUGGACAAUGGGCGAAAGCCUGAUCCAGCAAUGCCGCGUGUGUGAAGAAGGCCUUCGGGUUGUAAAGCACUUUUGUCCGGAAAGAAAUCCUUGGCUCUAAUACAGUCGGGGGAUGACGGUACCGGAAGAAUAAGCACCGGCUAACUACGUGCCAGCAGCCGCGGUAAUACGUAGGGUGCAAGCGUUAAUCGGAAUUACUGGGCGUAAAGCGUGCGCAGGCGGUUUGCUAAGACCGAUGUGAAAUCCCCGGGCUCAACCUGGGAACUGCAUUGGUGACUGGCAGGCUAGAGUAUGGCAGAGGGGGGUAGAAUUCCACGUGUAGCAGUGAAAUGCGUAGAGAUGUGGAGGAAUACCGAUGGCGAAGGCAGCCCCCUGGGCCAAGUACUGACGCUCAUGCACGAAAGCGUGGGGAGCAAACAGGAUUAGAUACCCCUGGUAGUCCACGCCCUAAACGAUGUCAACUAGUUGUUGGGGAUUCAUUUCCUUAGUAACGUAGCUAACGCGUGAAGUUGACCGCCUGGGGAGUACGGUCGCAAGAUUAAAACUCAAAGGAAUUGAC
Molecule: ribosomal RNA, 568 nt
Filed under: uncultured bacterium
Lineage: Bacteria
Description: partial 16S ribosomal RNA
Rfam family: Bacterial small subunit ribosomal RNA
Source: RNAcentral